UGGAUUAGCGGCGAACGGGUGAGGAACACGUGAAGAAUCUGCCCUCCACUUUGGGAUAACACCGGGAAACCGGUGCUAAUACCGAAUAUUGAAACAUAAGUGGCAUCACUGAGUUUUGAAAGAAUUUCGGUGGAGGAUGACUUCGCGGCCUAUCAGCUAGUUGGUGAGGUAAUGGCUCACCAAGGCAACGACGGGUAGCCGGCCUGAGAGGGCGACCGGCCACACUGGGACUGAGACACGGCCCAGACUCCUACGGGAGGCAGCAGUGGGGAAUAUUGGGCAAUGGAGGAAACUCUGACCCAGCGACGCCGCGUGCGGGAUGAAGGCCUUCGGGUUGUAAACCGCUUUCAGUAGGGAAGAAGCGAAAGUGACGGUACCUACAAAAGAAGCACCGGCUAACUAUGUGCCAGCAGCCGCGGUAAUACAUAGGGUGCAAGCGUUGUCCGGAAUUAUUGGGCGUAAAGAGCUCGUAGGUCGUUUGUUACGUCGGAUGUGAAAACCUG
RNAcentral lists this ribosomal RNA (503 nucleotides) under uncultured Actinomycetes bacterium. RNAcentral's name for it is "bacterial SSU rRNA". It matches the Rfam family "Bacterial small subunit ribosomal RNA", at positions 88 to 604 of the family's 1533-position model. Lineage: Bacteria; Bacillati; Actinomycetota; Actinomycetes. The record is from RNAcentral.